Molecule: ribosomal RNA, 1564 nt
Filed under: Shigella sonnei
Lineage: Bacteria; Pseudomonadati; Pseudomonadota; Gammaproteobacteria; Enterobacterales; Enterobacteriaceae
Description: partial 23S ribosomal RNA
Rfam family: Bacterial large subunit ribosomal RNA
Source: RNAcentral
AAGGCGAGGCCGAAAGGCGUAGUCGAUGGGAAACAGGUUAAUAUUCCUGUACUUGGUAUUACUGCGAAGGGGGGACGGAGAAGGCUAUGUUGGCCGGGCGACGGUUGUCCCGGUUUAAGCGUGUAGGCUGGUUUUCCAGGCAAAUCCGGAAAAUCAAGGCUGAGGCGUGAUGACGAGGCACUACGGUGCUGAAGCAACAAAUGCCCUGCUUCCAGGAAAAGCCUCUAAGCAUCAGGUAACAUCAAAUCGUACCCCAAACCGACACAGGUGGUCAGGUAGAGAAUACCAAGGCGCUUGAGAGAACUCGGGUGAAGGAACUAGGCAAAAUGGUGCCGUAACUUCGGGAGAAGGCACGCUGAUAUGUAGGUGAAGUCCCUUGCGGAUGGAGCUGAAAUCAGUCGAAGAUACCAGCUGGCUGCAACUGUUUAUUAAAAACACAGCACUGUGCAAACACGAAAGUGGACGUAUACGGUGUGACGCCUGCCCGGUGCCGGAAGGUUAAUUGAUGGGGUCAGCGCAAGCGAAGCUCUUGAUCGAAGCCCCGGUAAACGGCGGCCGUAACUAUAACGGUCCUAAGGUAGCGAAAUUCCUUGUCGGGUAAGUUCCGACCUGCACGAAUGGCGUAAUGAUGGCCAGGCUGUCUCCACCCGAGACUCAGUGAAAUUGAACUCGCUGUGAAGAUGCAGUGUACCCGCGGCAAGACGGAAAGACCCCGUGAACCUUUACUAUAGCUUGACACUGAACAUUGAGCCUUGAUGUGUAGGAUAGGUGGGAGGCUUUGAAGUGUGGACGCCAGUCUGCAUGGAGCCGGCCUUGAAAUACCACCCUUUAAUGUUUGAUGUUCUAACGUGGACCCGUGAUCCGGGUUGCGGACAGUGUCUGGUGGGUAGUUUGACUGGGGCGGUCUCCUCCUAAAGAGUAACGGAGGAGCACGAAGGUUGGCUAAUCCUGGUCGGACAUCAGGAGGUUAGUGCAAUGGCAUAAGCCAGCUUGACUGCGAGCGUGACGGCGCGAGCAGGUGCGAAAGCAGGUCAUAGUGAUCCGGUGGUUCUGAAUGGAAGGGCCAUCGCUCAACGGAUAAAAGGUACUCCGGGGAUAACAGGCUGAUACCGCCCAAGAGUUCAUAUCGACGGCGGUGUUUGGCACCUCGAUGUCGGCUCAUCACAUCCUGGGGCUGAAGUAGGUCCCAAGGGUAUGGCUGUUCGCCAUUUAAAGUGGUACGCGAGCUGGGUUUAGAACGUCGUGAGACAGUUCGGUCCCUAUCUGCCGUGGGCGCUGGAGAACUGAGGGGGGCUGCUCCUAGUACGAGAGGACCGGAGUGGACGCAUCACUGGUGUUCGGGUUGUCAUGCCAAUGGCACUGCCCGGUAGCUAAAUGCGGAAGAGAUAAGUGCUGAAAGCAUCUAAGCACGAAACUUGCCCCGAGAUGAGUUCUCCCUGACCCUUUAAGGGUCCUGAAGGAACGUUGAAGACGACGACGUUGAUAGGCCGGGUGUGUAAGCGCAGCGAUGCGUUGAGCUAACCGGUACUAAUGAACCGUGAGGCUUAACCUUACAACGCCGAAG